This 300-nucleotide ribosomal RNA is filed under the name uncultured bacterium. RNAcentral describes it as "partial 16S ribosomal RNA". It matches the Rfam family "Bacterial small subunit ribosomal RNA", at positions 493 to 795 of the family's 1533-position model. The record is from RNAcentral.
CCGCAGAGGUGCAGGGGGCCGCGGGAAGACGUGGGGGGGGUGCUUGGUCCGGGUUUAUUGGGCGGAAAGGGCUCGGAGGUGGCUCGGUAAGUCGGGUGUGAAAUUUCGAGGCUCAACCGCGAAACGCCACCUGAUACUGCUGUGGCUUGAGUCCGGUAGGGGAGCGUGGAAUUCCUGGUGUAGCGGUGAAAUGCGCAGAUAUCAGGAGGAACACCAGCGGCGAAGGCGGCGCUCUGGGCCGGUACUGACACUGAGGAGCGAAAGCGUGGGGAUCAAACAGGAUUAGAUACCCGUGUAGUC